Marmota flaviventris (yellow-bellied marmot) is the source of this 503-nucleotide non-coding RNA. The record is from the annotation of a RefSeq genome assembly. Lineage: Eukaryota; Metazoa; Chordata; Mammalia; Rodentia; Sciuridae.
AUAAGAGAGGCCUGGGGGAGCCCAGCUCUCUUGUGAUUCAGGAGACAGAACUCUGGGACAUCUCCACCAUGGCCUGGAUCCCUCUCCUUCUCACCCUUCUGUCUGUCUGCACAGGUUCCAUGGCCUCCUAUGUACUGACACAGCCACCCUCAGUGUCAGUGACUCCAGGUCAGACAGCUAUAAUCACCUGCUCUGGAGACAAACUCUCUGAAAAAUAUAUUCAUUGGUACCAGCAGAAGUCUGCUCAGUCCCCUGUACUGGUGAUUUAUGAGGACAGUGAGAGGCCUUCAGGGAUCCCUGACCGAUUCUCUGGCUCCAGCUCAGGGAACACAGCCACCCUGACUAUCAGCAGGGUCCAGGCUGAAGAUGAGGCUGAUUAUUACUGUCAAAGGUGGGACAGCAAUGCUAAAGCACACAGUGUUUCAGGCAGAUGGAGAAGUGAGACACAAACACUUUCCUUGUCUGUGUCACAUUCUUAUAGUCUUCAGGAGGACUGGCAGUAA